This 253-nucleotide ribosomal RNA is filed under the name uncultured bacterium. RNAcentral describes it as "partial 16S ribosomal RNA". It matches the Rfam family "Bacterial small subunit ribosomal RNA", at positions 524 to 776 of the family's 1533-position model. The record is from RNAcentral. RNAcentral also lists the same sequence under 1 other name.
UACGUAGGAUGCAAGCGUUGUCCGGAAUUAUUGGGCGUAAAGAGCGCGCAGGCGGUCUAUCAAGUCAGAUGUGAAAUGUCCCGGCUUAACCGGGAAGGGUCAUUUGAAACUGGUAGACUAGAGUACAGCAGAGGAUAGCGGAAUUCCCGGUGUAGUGGUGAAAUGCGUAGAUAUCGGGAGGAACACCAGUGGCGAAGGCGGCUAUCUGGGCUGAAACUGACGCUGAGGCGCGAAGGCUAGGGGAGCAAACAGG